This 540-nucleotide unclassified non-coding RNA is filed under the name Candida albicans. RNAcentral describes it as "sequence contains 18S rRNA gene, ITS1, 5.8S rRNA gene, ITS2, 28S rRNA gene". The stretch from base 182 to 335 matches the Rfam family "5.8S ribosomal RNA". The record is from RNAcentral. Lineage: Eukaryota; Fungi; Ascomycota; Pichiomycetes; Serinales; Debaryomycetaceae.
GUAACAAGGUUUCCGUAGGUGAACCUGCGGAAGGAUCAUUACUGAUUUGCUUAAUUGCACCACAUGUGUUUUUCUUUGAAACAAACUUGCUUUGGCGGUGGGCCCAGCCUGCCGCCAGAGGUCUAAACUUACAACCAAUUUUUUAUCAACUUGUCACACCAGAUUAUUACUUAAUAGUCAAAACUUUCAACAACGGAUCUCUUGGUUCUCGCAUCGAUGAAGAACGCAGCGAAAUGCGAUACGUAAUAUGAAUUGCAGAUAUUCGUGAAUCAUCGAAUCUUUGAACGCACAUUGCGCCCUCUGGUAUUCCGGAGGGCAUGCCUGUUUGAGCGUCGUUUCUCCCUCAAACCGCUGGGUUUGGUGUUGAGCAAUACGACUUGGGUUUGCUUGAAAGACGGUAGUGGUAAGGCGGGAUCGCUUUGACAAUGGCUUAGGUCUAACCAAAAACAUUGCUUGCGGCGGUAACGUCCACCACGUAUAUCUUCAAACUUUGACCUCAAAUCAGGUAGGACUACCCGCUGAACUUAAGCAUAUCAAUAA